CGCCAGACUCCUACGGGAGGCAGCAGUGGGGAAUAUUGCACAAUGGGGGAAACCCUGAUGCAGCGACGCCGCGUGAGUGAAGAAGUAUUUCGGUAUGUAAAGCUCUAUCAGCAGGGAAGAAAAUGACGGUACCUGACUAAGAAGCCCCGGCUAACUACGUGCCAGCAGCCGCGGUAAUACGUAGGGGGCAAGCGUUAUCCGGAUUUACUGGGUGUAAAGGGAGCGUAGACGGCAUGGCAAGUCAGAUGUGAAAGCCCGGGGCUCAACCCCGGGACUGCAUUUGAAACUGUCAGGCUGGAGUGCAGGAGAGGUAAGUGGAAUUCCUAGUGUAGCGGUGAAAUGCGUAGAUAUUAGGAGGAACACCAGUGGCGAAGGCGGCUUACUGGACUGUAACUGACGUUGAGGCUCGAAAGCGUGGGGAGCAAACAGGAUUAGAUACCCCCGUAU
RNAcentral lists this ribosomal RNA (447 nucleotides) under uncultured bacterium. RNAcentral's name for it is "bacterial SSU rRNA". It matches the Rfam family "Bacterial small subunit ribosomal RNA", at positions 329 to 793 of the family's 1533-position model. The record is from RNAcentral.